ACUGCUCGGUCAGCUUUUUAUCAGUCUCCAGCAUGUAGUCACCUCCGGGAGGUUGUUGCUUCGGGAACCUCUGUCUGAUGCCAACUACAGCCUGACUGAUAUUAUUAUAGAGCUGGACAUUCGGUUCCAUCCAUUGGAGGGAAUAGCAGGACACUGGGAAGGAAUGGACUUUUUGGAAGUGGAAGACAGUGAUGAAUCAGCUCUAGUCAUCAGGAAUGAUGGAUUUGAUGAAGUUGAGAGAGGGUCCAUAGUGGCUCUCAACGAUCAAAUGGAGAGAGAUGCUCGUCAUCUGGGUCGGAGCCUGUUCCGGAUGGGGGAUGAAGACGAGGAUGAUGAGGAUUAUGAUUAUGAAG
Long non-coding RNA from Girardinichthys multiradiatus, 353 nucleotides. RefSeq lists it as uncharacterized. NCBI's taxonomy places the organism in Eukaryota, Metazoa, Chordata, Actinopteri, Cyprinodontiformes, Goodeidae. The record is from RefSeq and is a predicted model, not a curated record. The transcript has 4 exons.